GAUGAACGCUGGCGGCGUGCCUAAUACAUGCAAGUCGAGCGAACGGACGAGAAGCUUGCUUCUCUGAUGCUAGCGGCGGACGGGUGAGUAACACGUGGAUAACCUACCUAUAAGACUGGGAUAACUUCGGGAAACCGGAGCUAAUACCGGAUAAUAUUUUGAACCGCGUGGUUCAAAAGUGAAAGACGGUCUUGCUGUCACUUAUAGAUGGAUCCGCGCUGCAUUAGCUAGUUGGUAAGGUAACGGCUUACCAAGGCAACGAUGCAUAGCCGACCUGAGAGGGUGAUCGGCCACACUGGAACUGAGACACGGUCCAGACUCCUACGGGAGGCAGCAGUAGGGAAUCUUCCGCAAUGGGCGAAAGCCUGACGGAGCAACGCCGCGUGAGUGAUGAAGGUCUUCGGAUCGUAAAACUCUGUUAUUAGGGAAGAACAUAUGUGUAAGUAACUGUGCACAUCUUGACGGUACCUAAUCAGAAAGCCACGGCUAACUACGUG
This 497-nucleotide ribosomal RNA is filed under the name uncultured bacterium. Its description in RNAcentral is "partial 16S ribosomal RNA". It matches the Rfam family "Bacterial small subunit ribosomal RNA", at positions 28 to 507 of the family's 1533-position model. The record is from RNAcentral.